RNAcentral lists this long non-coding RNA (1434 nucleotides) under Homo sapiens (human). Its description in RNAcentral is "HSALNT0075110". The record is from RNAcentral. Lineage: Eukaryota; Metazoa; Chordata; Mammalia; Primates; Hominidae.
ACCAUGGCACCCUAGAGAUUAGUACUGUUACUGAUUUCACAGGUCUCUUGUGCAUGUGAAUUUCCAUGAGAUUCUAUUCAACUGGAGUAACUAAGAAGAAAGAACAAUGUCCCUCUAUACAAGGUGGGUUUUGCAUUGUCCCACACAUAGUCUGCUGAUGGCCGUGGGAUGGCAAAGUCAUCUUCAUUAGACGGAAUUUAAUAGUGAAUCAAAGUUCUUGUGGAGAAUAGACUGAUCUAAACUUUAGCCUCCCUUGGGUCCUCCUUUUAGUCUUGCUUUUGGUUUUGUUCUAUGAUGGGAGAGUCUAAAACUCAAUCUAAGGAUGCAGUCCUUUGAUAAAAUCUUCUCAAAAAUAUUAGGAAUCUAGGAAGAGUUAAUGGCAGGAGAAAACGGAGGAGCAGCACAGGUAAAAUGCAUCAACCAGACCUGUACAGCAGGAUCAGACAUAGUUAACAAGAAAAAAGAAAGGAGAAACAAAUGUGUUAGGUGAUCUUUAGUCUAAAGAAAUCUCUGUUGGGCAACUGGGCAUUUUGCUCCUUGCCUUUGAUUUCCAACUUCCUUUCAAAGAAUUCGUUAAGUGAAAAGAGAGAUGAUGGCAGCUCAGUAUAUCAAAGCUCAGUUAUCAGUUGGCUUAUUCUAGUAUCUUUAGUCUUUUGUGGAUGCCUUAUGAUGUGUUGUGUGGUAACACUGGAAAGUCAAUCUUAUACCAGCGAUUGCCACAUAAACGUUAAGGAAUCCAAAAAAAAAUCACAAAAUAGAAAUUGUUACUCUCUCAGGUAUAAAGUGGCACUGAUAAGAAUUAAUGUAUCCAAAAAGAUUUGGGUGGGUUUCUUUUCCCUUUUGGGGGAAGAGAGUGGACAAGGGAUUGAUUGGAUUUUUUUUAGGAGGGUGAGAAGGAAGCUGUAAGAGAAGGAAAAGGUAUCCUGCAGACUUUUCCAUGAUCAGCUCUUUAGUAUUGGCUGUGAAUAUGUUGUCCAAGUUAAUGACCAAAAACAAAUAAAUAAAAAACUUACUACCACUACAAGGAAAUCUGUUUCUCUUUAUGUAAUAUUUUUGUUCUUAAAAAUUCAUAGGAACCAUAAAAAAAUAAGUCUCAUUUUAAAAUCAAAGUAAACCGCCUUUUAGGGGCUAAAUGCCUAAUAGAAAGACUUUAGAAACUCUGGAAAGAUAAUGUACUAGUCCAGGCCUCCCUAGUCAGACACCCCACUCUGGGAUCUUGAAAAGAGUGGAAUGAAAGUACUAUUCUCAGAGCUGUGGGCAAGAUUUAAGGAACACAAAGAGAUGAAUCAAGGAGAGACUAGCUGGAGCAGGAAUACGAUUACCCCUGAGGCUACUGGGCAAGUGGAGGAAGCAGUGUUUCCGGGGCAAGUGGAGGAAGCAGUGUUUCCGGACCAAGUGAGAGCUCCACCAUGUGAGAAGGCACAACUGCAGAGC